AGUGAAUAGACUACCCGGUAGUCCACGCCCUAAACGAUGUCGACUGGCUUUCCGGAGUAUCGACCCUCUGGGGAGGCGAAAGCUAAACGCGUUAAGUCGACCGCCUGGGUAGUACGGCCGCAAGGCUAAAACUCAAAGGAAUAGACGGGAGCUUGCACAAGCGGUGGAGCGUGUGGCUCAAUUCGUCGCUAAGCGAAGAACCUUACCAGGGCUAGAAAUCCUACUGCACGCCUCUCGAAAGAGAGGAAGCCUUCGAGGGUGUAGGACAGGUGAUGCAUGGCUGUCGUCAGUUCGUGGUUUGAAUCGUUCCCUUCAGUGGGGUAACGAACGCAACCCUCGUUGCCUGUUACAAGUGUCAGGCGAGACUGCCCCCUCACGGGGGAGGAAGGUGGGGAUGACGCCAAGUCAGCAUGUCCCUCUGAUGUCCUGGGCUGCACACGCGCUACAAUCGCCGUUACGAAGGGGCGCGACGUCGUAAGACCGAGCAAAUCCUCUAAAAGCGGCGCCGGUUCGGAUUGAGGUCUGCAACCCGACCUCAUGAAGCCGGAAUC
RNAcentral lists this ribosomal RNA (551 nucleotides) under uncultured bacterium. Its description in RNAcentral is "bacterial SSU rRNA". It matches the Rfam family "Bacterial small subunit ribosomal RNA", at positions 773 to 1333 of the family's 1533-position model. The record is from RNAcentral.